CAUUGGUGACGUGCUCGAGCUGUCGGAUAAUGGCCUGGGUGGCCCUGCUAUGCAUCGUGUCGAGCUCGGUCACCGACUUCUGAAGUGCGUCCAGCUUGUCGAUGAGCACAUUCGACAAGCGCACGGCCCCCUGGGUAGUGGUGCUCAUGUCCUUCCGGAUGUCAUCGCGCAUCUUCCGAGUGAUGCCCGUGACCUCACUCAUA
This 203-nucleotide long non-coding RNA is filed under the name Phoenix dactylifera (date palm). RNAcentral's name for it is "long non-coding RNA (PDAC_LNC010622)". The record is from RNAcentral. Lineage: Eukaryota; Viridiplantae; Streptophyta; Magnoliopsida; Arecales; Arecaceae.